UGGCUAUCUGGUCGUCCGCAAACCGCCGAGCGUAUCAAGGCGGUGCUGUAUUCGACGGCCUCGAUCCGCUCGAUCGCCUCGGUGGUGCAUGUGGAGGCGAACUCGUUCGACGUGCUGAUCGACCACACCGAUAUCGGUGCCGGCUGGGCGGAUGAGACCGCUGCGGCCAGCGAGACCGGGACGCCGCCGAUCGACCGUAUUUCGAUCCCGCUGCACGAGCUGAGCGCUCUGCCCAAGGCAAGCCAGCGCCUGCUGGAUGACAGCGCGUUCGAUAUCGAGGGCUGGCUGGCCGACCGCAUCGCCAACAAGUUCGCCCGCGCCGAGGCGCAGAGCUUUAUCAACGGGGACGGGGUCAACAAGCCGCGCGGUUUCCUGAACCAUGCCGCUGUCGACAAUGACAGCUGGACCUGGGGCAAUAUCGGCUAUGUCGCCUCGGGCGUGGCCGCUGGUGUGGAUGCCGAUGAUAUCGUCGAUCUGGUCUAUGCGCUGGGGGCGCAGUACCGCGCCAACGGGGCGUUCGUGAUGAACUCGAAAACCGCGGGCAACAUCCGCAAGCUGAAGGAUGCCGAUGGCCGCUUCCUGUGGUCGGAUGGUCUGGCGGCGGGAGAGCCUGCGCGGCUGAUGGGCUAUCCGGUGGUGAUCGCCGAGGACAUGCCCGACCCGGCAACCGACAGCUAUUCCAUCGCGUUCGGCGAUUUCAACGCGGGCUAUACCGUGGCCGAGCGUCCGGAUCUGCGCGUGCUGCGCGACCCGUUCAGCGCAAAACCCCAUGUGCUGUUCUA
RNAcentral lists this ribosomal RNA (782 nucleotides) under uncultured Rhodobacterales bacterium. Its description in RNAcentral is "partial 16S ribosomal RNA". Lineage: Bacteria; Pseudomonadati; Pseudomonadota; Alphaproteobacteria; Rhodobacterales. The record is from RNAcentral.